This 452-nucleotide ribosomal RNA is filed under the name uncultured organism. Its description in RNAcentral is "partial 16S ribosomal RNA". It matches the Rfam family "Bacterial small subunit ribosomal RNA", at positions 332 to 800 of the family's 1533-position model. The record is from RNAcentral.
UACACUCCUGCGGGAGGCAGCAGUGGGGAAUUUUGGACAAUGGGCGAAAGCCUGAUCCAGCCAUGCCGCGUGAAUGAUGAAGGUCUUAGGAUUGUAAAAUUCUUUCACCGGGGACGAUAAUGACGGUACCCGGAGAAGAAGCCCCGGCUAACUUCGUGCCAGCAGCCGCGGUAAUACGAAGGGGGCUAGCGUUGCUCGGAAUUACUGGGCGUAAAGGGAGCGUAGGCGGACAUUUAAGUCAGGGGUGAAAUCCCGGGGCUCAACCUCGGAAUUGCCUUUGAUACUGGGUGUCUUGAGUAUGAGAGAGGUGUGUGGAACUCCGAGUGUAGAGGUGAAAUUCGUAGAUAUUCGGAAGAACACCAGUGGCGAAGGCGACACACUGGCUCAUUACUGACGCUGAGGCCCGAAAGCGUGGGGAGCAAACAGGAUUAGAAACCCCUGUAGUCCCAUGA